UCAAACUUGGUCAUUUAGAGGAAGUAAAAGUCGUAACAAGGUAUCUGUAGGUGAACCUGCAGAUGGAUCAUUUCGAUGAAAAACCUUUUUUCAGAGGUGUGGCUCGCACCUGUCCAACUAAACUUGAGCUACCUUUUUCAACACGGUUGCAUCGGUCGGCCUGUCAAACAGUGCGACGCAAGGAGAAAAUCCUCGCGUCUGCUGGGCGACGGACAGACAAUUUUAUUGAACACUUUUUGAUGAUCUAGGAUUUGAAGGAGAAAAAGUCAUUUUUACAAAUGAAAUCGACUGGUAAUGCGGUCGUCUAAUUUUAAAAACAACUUUUGGCAACGGAUCUCUUGGUUCUCCCAUCGAUGAAAACGCAGC
RNAcentral lists this unclassified non-coding RNA (366 nucleotides) under uncultured fungus. RNAcentral describes it as "partial contains small subunit ribosomal RNA, internal transcribed spacer 1, and 5.8S ribosomal RNA". The stretch from base 1 to 73 matches the Rfam family "Eukaryotic small subunit ribosomal RNA", at positions 1759 to 1831 of the family's 1831-position model. Lineage: Eukaryota; Fungi. The record is from RNAcentral.